AUUUGAUGAUUUCCUAGAUGACGAGUCGGACUGGGUUUUCCACUGGCGACAACUUAUUUUUUUUUUUACCAUUCAUGCAUAACUGAAU
This 88-nucleotide small nucleolar RNA is filed under the name Tortispora caseinolytica NRRL Y-17796. The record is from RNAcentral. Lineage: Eukaryota; Fungi; Ascomycota; Trigonopsidomycetes; Trigonopsidales; Trigonopsidaceae.